Molecule: non-coding RNA, 5214 nt
Organism: Drosophila melanogaster (fruit fly)
Lineage: Eukaryota; Metazoa; Arthropoda; Insecta; Diptera; Drosophilidae
Source: Ensembl
CUAGUAUGCGCUCGAACUCGGUAAUGCGCACAUCAUGGGCGAGAGUGGGCGCGCAAGGCCGAACGAACAAACAGGUUGUGUACCACUGGGCGGUGGGUGGUGGUGGGCGGUAUUUGGAGGUGGAGGUAUUAGCCUGGAGGUGGGUGCGUUUUGUGGCAAAUAUCCGAAAGUUGUGAAUAACCCAAAAGUGCGUGCCCCUGAUUGGGCCAAGGUGGGAGUACCAUAUCAGUCAGAUCAACGAUUCCACACGGCGUAAACAAACACACACACACACCACAGAAACAGAGUGCCAAAGUUUACUGUCACGUGCUUGUCAACAACGUCUUGGCGUUUUAUAACGCAACGCCCUGACCCCGGACACGAUGAAGCUUUACAAGUGACCCCCGGUUCCUCCUGGACUUUGCACCCGGCCAAAGGCAACUACUACCGCCACUAACUGGGCUGAAUUGAACUCAAGUCCCACAGCGCUACCAUCAUACUUUUAGGACGAUGCCAGGACACGGCCUGACGGCAUUUCCUACAGGGCACGAAGGACAUACCCAUCGCCAUCCUUGUGCACAUCCACAUCCUCGCCUACAUCGAAUGAGAGCGCCCACAAGGGAUACAGUUGUUAACGUGGCCAAGGAGCAGCGACUAUGGCGGGGACAAAAACACAAACAUGGUUGCCGCAGGACGCUUGCAGUUGAAGGAGCAGAGCACUUUAUGUGCAUAUAAUGUCCGCUCUCACCCAAAGCACACACCCACACUCGCACACACACUCGCGCACACACACACACACGCGGAGAGGCAGGACCCUUUGAGCACGGUGUCGGCCAAGUUGCGGGGAAUUGUUAAUAUUGUCUGGGCCUGUAAGCAGCAUUUACAUGCUGGCCGACACCACGUACUACAUACGUCCUGCCUGAUGGACGGUCUCCGGGAUACGGAAUCCUUUCCGUACGGAUGAUGCUCCGGCUUUAAGUAGGCCCGCCUGGUAACAGAUAUUGUUUUAAAAAUAUGUACAUCCUUGCAUUUUGCAGAUGUUGAAUUAACCGACUAUACCCGACAGUUUUCAUUAGAAAAUGGAGGAUGGACACAAGUGCCGGAGUGGCCGGUUCUACAAAUCCCAGUGCACUCCAUUCAUUUCGACACCCUGUCCAGACGAAACUCCGGAUUUUGGCUUGGCCCACUUGACCGGGCAAAAACAGUGGACCAACUGAUAAUGAUGCUGUUGGCGACUUUGUGUUUGCUCAUGCCGGUAGCCUUGUGCCCAGGUCUUUGGUCCUUGGUCCUUGUUACUGGGUCCUUGGUCCUCGGUCCUUGGUCCAUGCAGUGGCUGGCUUUGAUGUUUCGCCAGGAUGAUGAAUUAUAUUUGACAUCUAUGUGCUUGGGCGGCGGUCCUCCUCCUCCUGCUCCGUCGUUGCUAACAUGUGUGUACCCUGCCACAUUUGAUGCCACUCAAACUACAAAUACAUACGUGUGCAUGCGCACCAAAAAACCACCCAGUUAUCCAUGCACCCACCCACCUACACUCGCGUCUGAUGAGAGCCGCACUUGGAUAUGUUUAUUUUACUGUCAAAACAUUAAAGUAAACUCCCGCCGAUGCCGCCGCACGGGGUUGAUUGUUAUCAGGGGGCGGUGUCGACAGCGUUGUACCUAUGCGAGGGUGGAAAACCGAUGGAAGGACCAUGCCGGGUACUUCGUCCUCUUGGCCACCUUCGGUUUGACUCCGUAGACAAGUCUAUUUGCAUAUGUUGACGGCAUACUCUAACCAGAUCCUGGUGGAUUUCCUGCUUAACGGCCGUGGCCAUCACAACAGCCAUCCCUUUGCACAGGACCUUCACACAUGCGGCUGUGUGGCAUGCCUUUUUGACAACUCAUAACAAUCACUCAUCAUAAACAAAGACGUUUUUUAUGCGAGAAGAUCGUGUGAAAAAGAAAAGCGAGAUGUGGAAAGCCCAAAUGCCGAUGCAUUCUCGAUUCGUGGCAUUAAGACAAAAGUAAACUUGAUUUUGGUAUGAAAUUGAUUCAUUCAUUUUCGAUCCAUUGAGUCAGAUUCUUAUCCGAUGGAUGAGCCGGUCAGCAUCACCACUUCCAACUGUGUGCACAUCCAACAGGUAGUCGAACCAGACAAACUGUCUCCACUUGCAAUGGAGUCUCGUUUCCAUCCUCUUCGCCCCUUUCAACUAAUAUUUGACUGGGAAUUCAGCGAGAGCCGGGAAUCCUUUGAUGGCAGGAUAUCGUCAUUCAGCUUCGGAAAAAUAAUUUAUUCGAUAAAUUUCGAUGUUUCCAUAGACCAUUAUGUCAGCUAGAGAACAUGAUAUCUCACCAAACAACUGUUGAAUGAUUCUUGAUGGACUGGAUGAAAGCAACUGGAUUUAAUUAUGUUAAUUUGUAAUUUUAAUAUGUUAUCAAAAAAAAAACAUCGAAGUAGGAUGGAGUUUUACUGAUGCGCUUUCCAAUCGAAUCGAAUUUGGUUGAUUUUUAUUAGCAUUCUUAUUGGAUUACUUUUUGUAAAAACACAUAUGAUUGCAUAAUAUAAUUGUAUUAAAUGUGUAUUUUUGUAAACCUUAUAUAGUUUAAACAUUUAAACGAACAAAUUGUUAAACAUGGCCAAUGAUUACAUGCUAAACCAAAAAUUUUUGCUGUAUUUGGACAAUUGUAUUUAUAGGUACUGAUUAGUUGAUAUUAAUAUUAAACAUAAACAAGAAACAUGAUGUUAUUCAUAAAUUCAAUCACAUCCAAAUGACCUAUCGAAAUUAAAUAUAUGUUACAAGAUAUAACAAUGUGAAAUUGUACUAAAAUUGCAAUGGUUUUCAAUAAGUUGACUCACAGGAGAAAAUAAUGUAUACAUUGGAAUUUUAUAAGAACAUAUUGUUCACAGCUCUACGCUUUUUUGAGGAUUAUCAUAUAUUACAAAAAAAGAAUUAUUGUCUUUAAUUUUAUAUAAAAUUUUUAAAAUAUUCAUAAUCAAAUAUAUGUUGUUGUUAGUUUCAUGAACACAAUGAAAAAAAAAACAGAAAAAUUCCCAUCCAAUAAUAAUUUAAAAUAUAUUGGAAUAAUUACUUUCACUCAAUUUAUUAAGUGAUCAAGACAUCUUAUGCAGAGAUCUGAUUUUAAUUUAGAGUUCAGUUUCCGAUCUUAACAAUUAAAUAAAUUACUUUGCUAAUUAUUUAACUCGAUCCACUUAGUUAAAGAUGAUCACGCAUACGCAACCAUUGCGCAUUAAUUUACACAUAUGCCUAAGAGUAUGCAACGUAUUCUUUUAUGCACUUUCUAAAGCAUACUUAUGUGGUUAAUUACGUGCUGCAGCAUAUUUUCUUUCCCAUAAAUGUCUAUCGCAGUUUAGGUGUGAUCUCAAAUUUACUUUUGUAUAAAUCAAUAACUAUUCUAUUAUCGAUAAGAUGUUGUUCAAAAGGGCUCUCUUCUUAGUCGAUCAUAGAAAGUGAUCAUAAACUUGUAUAUCAUGUAACAUACAUUAGAGAAAAGAAUUCGUCCACUGCCAACAUAAAGUCAUAGAUACUCAAAACUGUUAAAAAAAAGUAUCAUUUAAAUUGUUAAAUACUGUAAUUCUUUUAACAUUGCAUUUAAAUUAUAAGAUCAAAUUUACCCAAUUUUAAAUAUAAUCGGCUAUAGUAUCUUAAGUUCUUUUAAAUGCUUGUGACUUAAAAUUUCGAUUUCACACAGUAACUUUUGUGAUUUAAAUCUUUAAUUAGGCUAUUAGGUAUUACAAGUUGAGUUAACAAGAGUUAUGCGAAUUAUAUAUUCAUUAUUUGAUAACAAUUUUAUUGAUACAUCACAUACAAUACGUCGUAAAGCUCAAAUAUUUUAAAGACAACUAAUUUGUAGGGGGACAAUGCUCAAUCACCUUAAUACCCACAAUAAAUUUGAUCCACUUAUUGUGCAUUGUUAUAAGUCAUAAUAACCCGAAACCGAGCUGGUCGAUAAAGGACGGCUGCGAAUAUAUUUAUUGUUUUCCGCUUACUACCUGAAUACGAAUUAGCAUUGGGACCCACCCCUCCGCCCCUGCCAGCCAUAUACAUAUGUAGAAACCUAUCUGUAUACGAAAGUAAUGUCUUGAGCAGACCCUGGAUCGUGCCCCAUAAAUCAUGCCAAACUGCGUUUGGGUAUAGAAAGUCAAAGUAAACUGCCAUCACUUAAAGUCAUUCAAGCAUUUAUUUAUGUCAAAACAUUGUCCGCUUAGCUGCUGCGAACCUUUUGACAGUCCCCGAGGAGGUAGGGAUUCGGGAUCGGAAUCGGGAUUGGGAUCGAGAGUCGGAGGGGUCAGUUGGCCAGUCGAAUGUAUAACUCAAUUAUAGGCGGCUGUGUGCUCACCUCGCAGCGGGGUGUCGGCGCAUUAGCCACUCCUCCAUAUCCUGGCCCUCAGCCCUCGGUUCGCCGUGAGUUCCCUUUUUAGCGCUAGACCGGAUCGGAUAAUGCACAUGCGGCGAUCGGGGUCAUUGCGGUUUUCGGGAUCUCCAGUCUGCAGUCCCGAAUCUGCUGGACGAGAUAACCCCGACUAGACUGCAUAGAUGUCAUUAGAAACCGGGCACCAACACGAUCCUCAAUGAAAUAACCUCUCUGUUAGUUUGUCUUUAUUAUCUCUUCCCUGGAGGGGGGAUUCCUGUGUGGCCCGCAUCGGAUGGCACAUUGUGACCACGAUCGACCUCCAAGGUACAGGCCUCCCUGUACAUGAUUCUGUUUAACGAGAACAAUGUUCUUGCAAUUCUGCAAACGAUGGCCACACCGCCGUUGCUUCGUUGGCGAUCGCCUUUACUUACAGUUUCUGGACCGGAUCUGGGGAGGAUCGGGGCGAUCCGCAACCAGGUGAGGGGAUAACAACCACACGAUGGCACCGAAUCGUGCAAAAGUACAGCGACGGAUGGCAGGUGGCGCCGAUGCGAAUUUGAAUAUGGAAUGUCAGUCGGGCAUAUGGCUAGCAAAUUUGUAUUGUGUGGGGGGAAACCUUGUUAUGGGCUAAAAAUAGGGAUAACACACUCAAAUUUACAUAAAAUUUAUAAACUUCUGUUAUCAAUUUGUAGGGCCAGCUUUCUUAUUGGAUUACAUUUACCUUUCAAUCUGUUUAUAUUUAUAUUUUAUAGCAAAAGAACUAAGAUUUAAAGCUUGUCCUUACACUUAUACUUACUUGUUACUUACACUUACACAUAAUCAUACUUCAUAAAUAUUCCAUUCCACAUUAAUUAUCAGAAGACAUAAAAUAAAUUAUUUAAAAGCUCU